UCCAAUAGUGUAUAUUAAAGUUGCUGUGAUUAAAACGCUCGUAGUUGAAUUAAAAUGUGAUUUUAUACAUUUUGAAGACUUUGCAUAAGUAAAGUUUCUAGAAAUGUUAAAUUAAAAUCAAAGAAGGAAACAAUUCAAGUAAUUGAGUUGUUAUUACUUUGAAUAAAAUAAGGUGUUUAAAGCAAAACAUUAUGUUAAUGAAUAUUCAAGCAUGGGACAAUGCUGAGGGGAUGUCAAUAAGACAUUUCGAGAGAAGGAUUAAAAGGAACAAUUGGGGUGAUUCAGAAAAUAACGGGAGAGGUGAAAAUCCAUGAUCGCUAUAAGAUGCACGAGAGCGAAAGCAUUUCACUCAACUGUGUCCAUUAAUCAAGAACGAAAGUUAGGGGAUCGAAGACGAUCAGAUACCGUCGUAGUCCUAACUAUAAACGAUGUCAACCAAGGAUUGGAU
This 448-nucleotide ribosomal RNA is filed under the name Entamoeba histolytica. Its description in RNAcentral is "SSU rRNA". It matches the Rfam family "Eukaryotic small subunit ribosomal RNA", at positions 590 to 1058 of the family's 1831-position model. The record is from RNAcentral. Lineage: Eukaryota; Evosea; Mastigamoebida; Endamoebidae.